UUCCGGUUGAUCCUGCCGGACCUGACUGCUAUCGGAUUGAUACUAAGCCAUGCGAGUCUUUGUAGUAAUACAAGGCAUACGGCUCAGUAACGCGUAGUCAACCUACCCUAUGGACGGGAAUAAUCUCGGGAAACUGAGCAUAAUACCCGGCGUACCACCAUUCCUGGAAUGGUUGGUGGUUAAAAUGAUUCGUCGCCGUAGGAUGGGACUGCGACCUAUCAGCUUGUUGGUGAGGUAAAGGCCCACCAAGGCGAUUACAGGUACGGGCUCUGAGAGGAGAAGCCCGGAGAUGGGUACUGAGACACGGACCCAGGCCCUAUGGGGCGCAGCAGGCGAGAAAACUUUGCAAUGUGUGAAAGCACGACAAGGUUAAUCCGAGUGAUUUCUGCUAAAGGAAUCUUUUGCCAGUUCUAAAAAUACUAGUGAAUAAGGGGUGGGCAAGUUCUGGUGUCAGCCGCCGCGGUAAAACCAGCACCUCAAGUGGUCAGGAGGAUUAUUGGGCCUAAAGCAUCCGUAGCCGGCUCUGUAAGUUUUCGGUUAAAUCCAUGUGCUCAACAUAUGGGCUGCCGAAAAUACUGCAUAGCUAGGGAGUGGGAGAGGUAGACGGUACUCGAUAGGAAGGGGUAAAAUCCUUUGAUCUAUUGAUGACCACCUGUGGCGAAGGCGGUCUACCAGAACACGUUCGACGGUGAGGGAUGAAAGCUGGGGGAGCAAACCGGAUUAGAUACCCGGGUAGUCCCAGCUGUAAACGAUGCAGACUCGAUGAUGCAUUGGCAUAUAGCCAGUGCAGUGUCGCAGGGAAGCCGUUAAGUCUGCCGCCUGGGAAGUACGUACGCAAGUAUGAAACUUAAAGGAAUUGGCGGGGGAGCACCACAAGGGGUGAAGCCUGCGGUUCAAUUGGAUUCAACGCCGGG
Molecule: ribosomal RNA, 914 nt
Filed under: uncultured marine archaeon
Lineage: Archaea
Description: bacterial SSU rRNA
Rfam family: Archaeal small subunit ribosomal RNA
Source: RNAcentral